ACACUUCUACUGAUGUGACGAUAGUGGAGGGGAGGGCAGUAGCAAAGUCUGCACAGAUACAAAAACUGAAAGUAUGUUCAGUACAAGAGGCAGAUCCACUGGAUGUGGGUCUUGUCACCGAUGAGCCAGAGGAUCUCAGCUGCAGAAUUCAAGACGAGAGAAAAAGCGCAACCUCACUGCCUCAGGGCUACCUAUCUUCUGCCUGGCUGGCGUCAAGGUGCGGAGACGAGGGAGGGAGCGCCCACUCGGUUAAAACUAUCUAACAAAAUUACAUCCCGGUGACUCCGCACCUACCUUGGUAGAGACAUAGAGGUUGGGAUGGCGAAGGAAACGAGAGGGAAAGCCGCUUCCCGCAAGCACAGUAUCUCCCACUGGCGGAUGCAGGACAUUGCACAGGAGUCCGUUGACAGCUCAGAUGAGGAGUUUUUCGAUGCCAGAGCAGAUGUGCUGGAGGGGAAGAGUGCCAUCCUCCUGGGGAUGAGUCAGUGGAACUCCAACGACCUGGUGGAGCAGAUCGAGACCCUGGGACACAUGGACCAAUCACAAGAGAGCCUUUAUCACCUGGGGCGUCGUCGCUGUGUCCCUCAGAGCAGCAUUGACGGGUUAGAGGACAUGGAGAAGACCCAGUGUAAGACCCACGUGUUGCUGCUGGUGAUGCAUGGUGGGAACAUCCUGGAUACGGCAGGGGGAGACCCUGGCACCAAGGCUGGCGAUGCCACUACGCUGUCCUCCGUGCUGGAAAAGGUGGCUCGGGCACACUUCCAGGCCGCUGCAGAACAUGUGAUGAUCAAGCUAGUGGCCUGCCCAGCUGUGUGUGCCGAGGCCUUCUCCCUCGUCUCCAAUCUGAACCCGUACAGCUAUGACGAGAGCUGUGUGUCCAGCAGCGUUGACCACCUGCCCCUGGCCGCCCUCCCGCUCCUUGCCAUCGCAGCGCCAAACUACCAGGACGCCGUGGCAACUCUCAUCACCCGCACCAACCAGGUCUACCACAGCUUCCUCGAGUCCCAGGACGGACAGGGCUUCACUGGCCAGGUGUGUGUGAUGGGCGACUGUGUGGGAGGUGUGCUGUGCUUCGACGCCCUGUGUUUCAGCAGCAGCAGUAGUAGCAGCCAGAGGCAGCACAGCAGCCCCAGCCACAGCAGCAGCAGGAACAACAGCACUGAGAGCCUCAAGGAUAACCCUGAGGACAGCCCCUGUCACAGCCCCAGCCUGGGCCUCAGCUCCAGUAAGAGGCUGAGUAAGAGCAACAUUGAUAUCUCGGCCCUGCCCAGUGAUGGACACAGCCAGGCCAGACAGCCCCUCAGCAGGAAACAGAGCGACUCGUACGAUGGAGACACAUCUACAGGACAACACAGCUUCUUCAGCAGUCUGAUGCAGGAGGGGGGGGACCUGCAUCCCGGCAGCAGCAGUAGUCUGAUUUUGAACCCAGGGAGGUUUGACUUUGAGGUCUCCGAAUGUUUCCUGCUGGGCUGUCCACUGGGCCUGGUGCUGGCCAUGAGACGUACAGUACUGCCUGCUGUCCAGGUAAGCCAACUCCGUCCUGCCUGCAACCAGAUCUUCAACCUGUUCUACCCCUCGGACCCCUCUGCCUCCAGACUGGAGCCCCUGCUGGAGCCCCUCUUCCACAAGCUGCCCCCCUUCCCCAUGCCGCGCUACCAGCGCUACCCCCUGGGAGACGGACGCUGCACACUAAUAGCUGACGGUAUCCAGAGCCACCCAGAGGUGUUCCUGGAGGCAGAGCCCAAUCCUGGUGACCCGACCGUGCCCCCUUCCCCUGAAACAGACAGUGGGAGGGGAGGAGGAGGGGGAGGGCGCAGGGCCAGUGUGUCCAGCAUGGACAGUGAGACGUCCUUCUGCUCUGUGGGCCGGAUGAGUAGUAUCAUCACCAACAUUUCCAGUAGCUGGUGGGGCUCUAAGAGGUUGGACUAUUCUCUGUACUGUCCAGACGUGCUGACCUCCUUCCCCACUGUGGCACUGCCUCAUCUCUUCCAUGCCUCCUACUGGGAGUCCACUGAUGUAGCUGCGUUUGUGCUCCGACAGCUCAUGCGAUGCGACAGUGUUAAGACCCAGGAAGCUGACAGCAAGGACUCAGCCCCCUUCUCUCCAUCUAGCCCACGGGAGAAGUGGCUUCGCAGGAGGACGCCUGUCAAACUGAGGAAUGUGACUGGCAACCACAGGGUGAAUGAUGUCAUCACCACAGAGGAGGGACCACAGACUCUGGUUGGUCGGUUCAUGUAUGGCCCCUUGGACAUGGUGACUCUGACUGGAGAGAAGGUGGACAUUCUCCUAAUGACCCAGCCCCAGUCCGGCCGCUGGGUCCACUUUGACACAGAGGUGACCACCAGUAGUGGCAGAGUGGUCUACACCAUCCCCAAGAGCAAGAAGCUGGCAACCGGGGUCUACCCUAUCAAAAUGGUGGUCAAGGGAGAUCAGACGAGUGCGGAGGCCUAUCUGACGGUGCUGCCCAGGGGGAUGGAGUGUGUGGUAUUCAGCAUCGAUGGCUCCUUCGCUGCUAGCGUCUCCAUCAUGGGCAGCGACCCUAAAGUCCGUCCCGGAGCUGUGGACGUAGUCAGACACUGGCAGGACCUGGGCUAUCUUAUCAUCUACAUCACAGGGAGGCCAGACAUGCAGAAGCAGCGUGUGGUGUCAUGGCUGUCCCAACACAACUUCCCCCAGGGCAUGAUAUUCUUCUCUGAGGGCCUGGUCCACGACCCACUGAGACAGAAAACCAUCUUCCUCAGGAACCUAGUGCAGGAGUGUCACAUUAAGAUCAACUCAGCCUAUGGCUCCAUGAAGGACAUCUCCGUGUACAACAUGCUGGGUCUGAGUCCUUCCCAGAUUUAUAUUGUGGGCAGGCCUUCCAAGAAGUACCAGAAUCAAUGCCAGUUCCUAAGUGAUGGCUAUGCAGUGCACCUCUCCUCACUGCAGUUUGGCCACCGGGCCAGACCCAAGAAGCUUUCCUCAGUACGCAUGGUCCUGAAGAAAGGCUCCUUCGGCCUCACUGCCAAACCUGACUUCCUGUGUAAACGCACCCACCUGAGGAGAACUAUGUCUGUCCAACACCCUGAUCCUCCCUGCACCCCCAACCCCAAGCCUGAGCGGGCCCAGAGCCAACCAGAGUCUGACCAGGACCCCGGGGGAGGAGGAGGAGGGGGCGGCGGCCAUGGUGUCUGGGGGCGUGCCUCCAUGCACCGUGGAGACACGACACCCUGACGGACAGAGAGAGAUGGAGGGAGGAUGGAAGAGGAGGAGGACAGGGGUCUCAGUGUCCAGGGUCAAGUGCCGUCACUUAUAUUGGAUCUUCUGCUGGUAUCAGUUGUGUUAACCUCCUGCUUGGCCCUCUACACUUCUUCAACAGCUGCCCUUCUCCACUCCCAGGACUCAGUAGAUGGUAUUCCUCAAGAUUUCUCUUAAUGCUUGAAACAGCCAUGGAUUCAUCCUAAUGCUGUCUGUCUCUCAAGCUCAAAUUAUGUCCAAUGUGGAAAACGUUUUUUCAGUGGCAAUGCUAAUGAAUCAAUGUGUUAUCUUUUGUCAAGCCGAGAGAGAGGGACACUUUGGUCAUUUGUAAAAUGGUGCAAAAACAUUUCCUGCAGAACAUUAGAUCAACACACAGAUGCAACCAGAGUCAUAUGCCAGAAGACUCCCUCUCAUCCCCCACUGGGAAUAGUAACAGAGAAGAUCCUGUUGAAACCUAUGGAGGAAUGUUCUAGCCCAAGCAAUACACCACCAGGAGAUGUUCCAGACAGUAUGUUCAUUGACCUGCUGUGUUGACAGGUGGCAGAGCUACACCGACUGACUCUUGCAAUUAUUCUCUAUGUAAAUAGGACAGACAUCUUGUCCCUCUCUAUGGUCUGUGUCCCCAGGAGCGCUGUGGGGCCUCUGGCUACUUCACGCUGGGGACAUUAACCUCAUGUUCCUCAGCCCGGCUGACCUAAACUAACCCCACUCCAGCCUCAGCCCUAUAGCCAUCCAUCUCUCCCUCUCUCAUUCAGUAAGUCAUUGAGGCAGAACAUGGCUUCAGACAGCAGCCUGGUAGGGGGUCCAUGGCCACUGGUUGCUCUGACUUGCACUAUACAAGUACUACAGUAUACCGUGGUGCUUGGUGGGCUGUAGUUCUGUGGAAUGCUGUUACUCCUGCUGGCUCAGAUAUGAUAGCGGGAUUUGCUUGCUGUUGUGAUCUUAUAUCUGUCUGCAGAUGUUGAACUACAUGUUUUACUCCUUCUCUGUUGAGUUUCUGGGCUUGUGUGAUAUGCUUUGUACAGCUGUUUGAGGGAAGGCUUGUACUGAAUUGACUGAAAUUGUUUACAGGUUUGUGAUGAGAUAGACACAGACAUCAGAGUAGUCAUGACGACCUCUCAUGAGGAAUGAUGAAAUCAGUUAUUUGAUUUUGUUAUGGUCAAAAGUCUAAGACAUGGAACUGACAGUGGGAAGAGAAUAAGUCCUAUUAACGUUAUAUCUUGCAAUAGAUCCUAACCUUCUUGUCAGGUGAAAUAACAUCAUUCAGAAUGCUAUAGUUAGCAUCCAUUUUAGGAAAGCUACAUCUUGAAGUGUGAGGGUCAUUGGGACUAAUGAAGGGGCAUGUCUAAUGAUAUGAGAUACCAUGUCACCUUAUCAUACAUUGUACUAUGGUGGGUCACCUCUCUGUGCAACACACCUAUUUUUCUAUGAUGAAAAACUGUGUGCAGAAAUAUUUUAAAAGUGUGUUUUUUAAACUGUUCUUUAAUGUGACUGAUAGUUACUUUUGCCUUAAUAUGUAUUUUGUUGUUGUGUAGAAUUAUGAAAAUGAUAUUACUAACCUAAUUGCUUGACCAAAGUAUGAGUUUGACAUUCAUGAGAAAGUACAUUGUAUCUACUUGAUAUUUUGUCUUGUAUACAUUUAAGUAUAUGCUGGAAUGGAGUCAUGUGUGUUUGUGUGUGUGUGUGUGUGUGUGUGUGUGUGUGUGUGUGUGUGUGUGUGUGUGUGUGUGUGUGUGUGUGUGUGUGUGUGUGUGUGUGUGUGUGUGUGUGUGUGUGUGUGUGUGUGUGUGCGUGCGCGUGCUUAUGUGUACGUUUCUGUGUAUUUAAGUAUUACGUUUCUGUAUAAUCAAGUAUUUAUGGUGUAAAUACCUGGAGCUACAAUAUGCUCCUGAACAUGAAAGUAAAGACCAUGUAUUCUGGAAGGAGAAGUCGAAGGUUGUUCAGUGUUGCCUGUUAAAAGCAGGAGUAUGGUUCAGAUUUAAGAUGAGUGUCUCACCAAGGAUUACACUAGUAAGGUUUGUAUAACUGUCAAGAAAGAGCAAGAGCUUUAGUGUUGCCUCAGGGUUUAGUUUCAAACCCAUUGACUGGAGAAGAAUCUCUGUUGGUUGAAAUCAGAAGCUUAGAGAGAGUGAGUGAAAGAGUUAGUUGUUUGCUUUCCUCUUUUGUUUAACCUCAUAGAGUAACACAGCUUUGAGACAGUAUCUAAGCUUACUAAACUAAUGACAGAACAGUAGCUAUAUUUAAAACAUGAAUGUAAAAAGUCCCAGUAACUCCAUCCCUAUAAUGUCAAUAACAUACCAGCAACAUUGUCUGGGUGAAUACUGUUGAAAGAAUGAUAUACAGUUUGACUUGUGAUUUGUAUCUUGAUCAUUCCCAUCAGUAUAAUGUGUUGUACACUGUAUGAUAAUCGCUGUAUUUUCGACGACACUACCAUAGACUACCAUGUACACUAAGACAUUUACAGUGAUUCUGAUUUCAGCUGGCCUGUUUCCUAUAAAAAUGUGGUGUGAAAGGAAAAAAUUUAUUGCCAUUAAAUAUUUAACAUAAUUUAGGUAAAUUAAGUGAUAUUUGUUUAUUUAUUGUCAUGCUAUUCUAUCUUGAGGUAAACUAUAUGGUCAGAGUUGCACUGCUGCAGAAAUCCAAUAGAACAUUUUGUUCAGAUUUAAUGUAGUUGAAACAUUUGUUUAUAUGAUAUGGUUUCCUGUAAUUGUGUUCUUGGACUUCAACCAUCUCUCACUAUCCUGUCAGUAAUAAAAAGAAAAAGAGCACAGACAGAGGCUCAAUUUGA
Salmo salar (Atlantic salmon) is the source of this 6025-nucleotide RNA transcript. It is a transcript of the gene named membrane-associated phosphatidylinositol transfer protein 3, with no coding region annotated. The record is from RefSeq and is a predicted model, not a curated record. NCBI's taxonomy places the organism in Eukaryota, Metazoa, Chordata, Actinopteri, Salmoniformes, Salmonidae.